CAUUAGGUUGGUGCAAAAGUCUUUGUGGUUUUUGCCAUUGCUUUUAAUGGCAAAAACCUCAAUGACUUUUGCACCAACCUAAUG
Papio anubis (olive baboon) is the source of this 84-nucleotide non-coding RNA. The record is from Rfam. NCBI's taxonomy places the organism in Eukaryota, Metazoa, Chordata, Mammalia, Primates, Cercopithecidae.